UAUGCAUUUUAAUCCAUUAAGCCCAAUUUCAAUUGGGCCUAAAACUAUGAUUCAUUAAGUCCAAAACUAUUUUUGGACUUAAAAGCAUAAACAUAAAAAUUUUCUACCCAUAAGAAAAAUUAUGAAACUAUAAAGACCUCCAUGAUAAAAACUAUGAAACCCUAAAAUCAUAUUUUUCUUUCUUCUUCUUCCCCAUUCGCCAUCUCCACAAAACACCAGCUGUCGUUCACCCAUCUUCUAUCGCCGAUUUGACCAUCUUCGCCACACUGGGAAGCCACCAAACGACGUCCUCUGCUAGCUGCAAACGUUCGCAAGCUUCCAGCCUCCACACGCUUGCUGCAGGCAGCGUUGCAGCACGCACUGCUUACUGCGUACGCAGCGUGUGUUGCCUGCAGUGUGCAGCCUGCUGCGCGCACUACUAGCAUGUGCGUUGCUGGUCGCGUGCUUCUCGUCGCGCGUUGCUUGCUAGUCAUCGCUAAAAUUUCCAGCAAUUCUUUCAAUCUGUCGUUGUGUGAUUAUUUUCAGUGAUUUACAAAUUUCCUAUACCAAUUUUGGCUUACAAAAUUUCUAUAACAAUAAACUAAAUUAAAAGGGAAACAUAUUUAUAAUAAACCACCCCUCUUGUUAUAGAUCCAAAGGAAAAAUACAGCAAAGAAUCUAACCAUGAAUUCAAACAAACCAAAACAUGCUUUAUUCAUAUAUU
Molecule: long non-coding RNA, 703 nt
Filed under: Citrus x clementina
Lineage: Eukaryota; Viridiplantae; Streptophyta; Magnoliopsida; Sapindales; Rutaceae
Description: Citrus clementina (C. clementina) long non-coding RNA (CCLE_LNC003480)
Source: RNAcentral